RNAcentral lists this ribosomal RNA (680 nucleotides) under Vibrio parahaemolyticus. RNAcentral describes it as "partial 23S ribosomal RNA". It matches the Rfam family "Bacterial large subunit ribosomal RNA", at positions 2269 to 2925 of the family's 2925-position model. The record is from RNAcentral. Lineage: Bacteria; Pseudomonadati; Pseudomonadota; Gammaproteobacteria; Vibrionales; Vibrionaceae.
UUUGACUGGGGCGGUCUCCUCCCAAAGAGUAACGGAGGAGCACGAAGGUGGGCUAAUCACGGUUGGACAUCGUGAGGUUAGUGCAAUGGCAUAAGCCCGCUUGACUGCGAGAAUGACAAUUCGAGCAGGUGCGAAAGCAGGUCAUAGUGAUCCGGUGGUUCUGAAUGGAAGGGCCAUCGCUCAACGGAUAAAAGGUACUCCGGGGAUAACAGGCUGAUACCGCCCAAGAGUUCAUAUCGACGGCGGUGUUUGGCACCUCGAUGUCGGCUCAUCACAUCCUGGGGCUGAAGUCGGUCCCAAGGGUAUGGCUGUUCGCCAUUUAAAGUGGUACGCGAGCUGGGUUUAGAACGUCGUGAGACAGUUCGGUCCCUAUCUGCCGUGGGCGUUGGAAGAUUGAAGGGGGCUGCUCCUAGUACGAGAGGACCGGAGUGGACGAACCUCUGGUGUUCGGGUUGUGUCGCCAGACGCAUUGCCCGGUAGCUAAGUUCGGAAUCGAUAACCGCUGAAAGCAUCUAAGCGGGAAGCGAGCCCUGAGAUGAGUCUUCCCUGAUACUUUAAGUAUCCUAAAGGGUUGUCGGAGACUACGACGUUGAUAGGUCAGGUGUGUAAGUGCUGUGAGGCAUUGAGCUAACUGAUACUAAUUGCCCGUGAGGCUUAACCAUACAACACCCAAGGGGUUU